This 81-nucleotide transfer RNA is filed under the name Saccharata proteae CBS 121410. It matches the Rfam family "tRNA". From Rfam's summary of the family: Transfer RNA (tRNA) molecules are approximately 80 nucleotides in length. Their secondary structure includes four short double-helical elements and three loops (D, anti-codon, and T loops). The record is from Rfam by way of RNAcentral. Lineage: Eukaryota; Fungi; Ascomycota; Dothideomycetes; Botryosphaeriales; Saccharataceae.
GGCGUGGUGGCUGAGUGGUUAUAGCGAUAGACUAGAAAUCUAUUUCCUUCGGGAGCACAGGUUCGAAUCCUGUCCACGUCG